Molecule: ribosomal RNA, 448 nt
Filed under: uncultured bacterium
Lineage: Bacteria
Description: bacterial SSU rRNA
Rfam family: Bacterial small subunit ribosomal RNA
Source: RNAcentral
AUUGAACGCUGGCGGCAGGCCUAACACAUGCAAGUCGAACGGUAACAGGAAACAGCUUGCUGUUUCGCUGACGAGUGGCGGACGGGUGAGUCACGCGUGGGUAACCUGCCUCAUACAGGGGGAUAACAGUUAGAAAUGACUGCUAAUACCGCAUAAGACCACAGCACCGCAUGGUGCAGGGGUAAAAACUCCGGUGGUAUGAGAUGGACCCGCGUCUGAUUAGGUAGUUGGUGGGGUAACGGCCUACCAAGCCGACGAUCAGUAGCCGACCUGAGAGGGUGACCGGCCACAUUGGGACUGAGACACGGUCCAGACUCCUACGGGAGGCAGCAGUGGGGAAUAUUGCACAAUGGGCGCAAGCCUGAUGCAGCCAUGCCGCGUGUAUGAAGAAGGCCUUCGGGUUGUAAAGUACUUUCAGCGGGGAGGAAGGGAGUAAAGUUAAUACCUU